GUCUAUGGCCAUGCCACCCUGAACAAGCCCGAUUCUGUCUGAUCUCUGAAGCUAAGCAGGGUUGGGCCCGGUUAGUACUUGGAUGGGAGACCACCUAAGAAGAUCAGGUGCUGUAGGCA
RNAcentral lists this ribosomal RNA (119 nucleotides) under Pteropus alecto (black flying fox). Lineage: Eukaryota; Metazoa; Chordata; Mammalia; Chiroptera; Pteropodidae. The record is from RNAcentral.